GAUGAACGCUAGCGGUAUGCUUAACACAUGCAAGUCGAACGAAAAAAUUUGAAAUAAUUAAAGAAAUUUAAAAAAAGUCUAUUUUUUAGUGGCGAACGGGUGAGUAAUGCGUGAGAAUUUGCCUUUAGGAGGAGGAUAACCAUUAGAAAUAAUAGCUAAUACUCCGUAAAGUCUUAUUGUUUAAGAUGAAAGAAUGAAUA
RNAcentral lists this ribosomal RNA (200 nucleotides) under uncultured bacterium. RNAcentral's name for it is "partial 16S ribosomal RNA". It matches the Rfam family "Bacterial small subunit ribosomal RNA", at positions 28 to 214 of the family's 1533-position model. The record is from RNAcentral.